UAGAGCGGGAAGUCAUUGAUGCCAUGCUUCCAGGAAAAUCUUCUAAGCUUCAGGCUAUUCGAGACCGUACCCCAAACCGACACAGGUGGUCAGGUAGAGAAUACCAAGGCGCUUGAGAGAACUCGGGUAAAGGAACUAGGCAAAAUGGUGCCGUAACUUCGGGAGAAGGCACGCUGGUGGUAAGUGAAAUCCCUGCGGGUGGAGCUGAAGCCAGUCGAAGAUACCAGGCCCCUGCGACUGUUUAUUAAAAACACAGCACUGUGCAAACACGAAAGUGGACGUAUACGGUGUGACGCCUGCCCGGUGCCGGAAGGUUAAUUGAUGGGGUUAGCGCUUGCGCGAAGCUCUUGAUCGAAGCCCCGGUAAACGGCGGCCGUAACUAUAACGGUCCUAAGGUAGCGAAAUUCCUUGUCGGGUAAGUUCCGACCUGCACGAAUGGCGUAACGAUGGGGGCGCUGUCUCUACCCGAGACUCAGUGAAAUUGAAAUCGCCGUGAAGAUGCGGUGUAUCCGCGGCUAGACGGAAAGACCCCGUGAACCUUUACUAUAGCUUCACAGUGAACUUUGAGCAUGUUUGUGUAGGAUAGCUGGGAGGCUUUGAAGUGGGAACGCCAGUUCUCAUGGAGCCAACCUUGAAAUACCAGCCUGACAUGUUUGAGGUUCUAACUUGGUCCCCUUAUCGGGGAUGAGGACACUGUGUGGUGGGUAGUUUGACUGGGGCGGUCUCCUCCCAAAGCGUAACGGAGGAGCACAAAGGUGGGCUAAGCAUGGUCGGACAUCAUGCGGUUAGUGUAAUGGCACAAGCCCGCUUAACUGCGAGACAGACACGUCGAGCAGGUACGAAAGUAGGUCAUAGUGAUCCGGUGGUUCUGUAUGGAAGGGCCAUCGCUCAACGGAUAAAAGGUACUCCGGGGAUAACAGGCUGAUACCGCCCAAGAGUUCACAUCGACGGCGGUGUUUGGCACCUCGAUGUCGGCUCAUCACAUCCUGGGGCUGAAGCCGGUCCCAAGGGUAUGGCUGUUCGCCAUUUAAAGUGGUACGCGAGCUGGGUUUAGAACGUCGUGAGACAGUUCGGUCCCUAUCUGCCGUGGACGUUGGAGAUUUGAGGAAAGCUGCUCCUAGUACGAGAGGACCGGAGUGGACGAACCUCUGGUGUUCGGGUUGUGACGCCAGUCGCAUUGCCCGGUAGCUAUGUUCGGACAGGAUAACCGCUGAAAGCAUCUAAGCGGGAAGCCCCUUCCAAGAUGAGAUCUCCCUGGACCCU
RNAcentral lists this ribosomal RNA (1263 nucleotides) under Marinobacter sp. DSM 26671. RNAcentral's name for it is "bacterial LSU rRNA". It matches the Rfam family "Bacterial large subunit ribosomal RNA", at positions 1579 to 2823 of the family's 2925-position model. Lineage: Bacteria; Pseudomonadati; Pseudomonadota; Gammaproteobacteria; Pseudomonadales; Marinobacteraceae. The record is from RNAcentral.